Molecule: ribosomal RNA, 491 nt
Filed under: uncultured bacterium
Lineage: Bacteria
Description: partial 16S ribosomal RNA
Rfam family: Bacterial small subunit ribosomal RNA
Source: RNAcentral
GUGAACGCUGGCGGUAGGCCUAACACAUGCAAGUCGAACGGCAGCACAGUAAGAGCUUGCUCUUACGGGUGGCGAGUGGCGGACGGGUGAGGAAUACAUCGGAAUCUACUUUUUCGUGGGGGAUAACGUAGGGUAACUUACGCUAAUACCGCAUACGACCUACGGGUGAAAGCAGGGGAUCUUCGGACCUUGCGCGAUUGAAUGAGCCGAUGUCGGAUUAGCUAGUUGGCGGGGUAAAGGCCCACCAAGGCGACGAUCCGUAGCUGGUCUGAGAGGAUGAUCAGCCACACUGGAACUGAGACACGGUCCAGACUCCUACGGGAGGCAGCAGUGGGGAAUAUUGGACAAUGGGCGCAAGCCUGAUCCAGCCAUACCGCGUGGGUGAAGAAGGCCUUCGGGUUGUAAAGCCCUUUUGUUGGGAAAGAAAAGCAGCAGGUUAAUACCCCGCUGUUCUGACGGUACCCAAAGAAUAAGCACCGGCUAACUUCGUG